This 452-nucleotide ribosomal RNA is filed under the name uncultured bacterium. Its description in RNAcentral is "bacterial SSU rRNA". It matches the Rfam family "Bacterial small subunit ribosomal RNA", at positions 1077 to 1533 of the family's 1533-position model. The record is from RNAcentral.
UGGGUAGUCCGCACGAGCGCACCUUGAUCUUAGUUGCCAGCAUUCAGUUGGGCACUCUAAGGUGACUGCCGGUGACAAACCGGAGGAAGGUGGGGAUGACGUCAAAUCAUCAUGCCCCUUAUGACCUGGGCUACACACGUGCUACAAUGGAUGGUACAAAGGGCAGCGAAGCCGCGAGGCAUUAGCAAAUCCCAUAAAACCAUUCUCAGUUCGGAUUGUAGGCUGCAACUCGCCUACAUGAAGCCGGAAUCGCUAGUAAUCGCGGAUCAGCAUGCCGCGGUGAAUACGUUCCCGGGCCUUGUACACACCGCCCGUCACACCACGAGAGUUGGCAACACCCGAAGUCGGUGAGGUAACCUUUGGAGCCAGCCGCCGAAGGUGGGGCCAAUGAUUGGGGUGAAGUCGUAACAAGGUAGCCGUAUCGGAAGGUGCGGCUGGAUCACCUCCUUUCU